RNAcentral lists this ribosomal RNA (497 nucleotides) under uncultured bacterium. RNAcentral's name for it is "partial 16S ribosomal RNA". It matches the Rfam family "Bacterial small subunit ribosomal RNA", at positions 28 to 507 of the family's 1533-position model. The record is from RNAcentral.
GAUGAACGCUGGCGGCGUGCCUAAUACAUGCAAGUCGAGCGAACAGACGAGGAGCUUGCUCCUCUGACGUUAGCGGCGGACGGGUGAGUAACACGUGGAUAACCUACCUAUAAGACUGGGAUAACUUCGGGAAACCGGAGCUAAUACCGGAUAAUAUAUUGAACCGCAUGGUUCAAUAGUGAAAGACGGUUUUGCUGUCACUUAUAGAUGGAUCCGCGCCGCAUUAGCUAGUUGGUAAGGUAACGGCUUACCAAGGCAACGAUGCGUAGCCGACCUGAGAGGGUGAUCGGCAACACUGGAACUGAGACACGGGCCAGACUCCUACGGGAGGCAGCAGUAGGGAAUCUUCCGCAAUGGGCGAAAGCCUGACGGAGCAACGCCGCGUGAGUGAUGAAGGUCUUCGGAUCGUAAAACUCUGUUAUUAGGGAAGAACAAAUGUGUAAGUAACUAUGCACGUCUUGACGGUACCUAAUCAGAAAGCCACGGCUAACUACGUG